AGAGUUUGAUCAUGGCUCAGGAUGAACGCUAGCGGCAGGCUUAAUACAUGCAAGUCGAGGGGCAGCACAGAUAGCAAUAUUGGGUGGCGACCGGCAAACGGGUGCGGAACACGUACAGAACCUUCCUUCGAGCGGGGAAUAGCCCGAAGAAAUUCGGAUUAAUACCCCAUAGUAAAUUGAAAAGGCAUCUUUUUAAUUUUAAAGAUUUAUCACUUGAAGAUGGCUGUGCGCCUGAUUAGGUAGUUGGCGGGGUAAUGGCCCACCAAGCCUUCGAUCAGUAACUGGCGUGAGAGCGCGACCAGUCACACGGGCACUGAGACACGGGCCCGACUCCUACGGGAGGCAGCAGUAAGGAAUAUUGGUCAAUGGACGCAAGUCUGAACCAGCCAUGCCGCGUGGAGGAUGAAGGUCCUCUGGAUUGUAAACUUCUUUUAUUUGGGACGAAAAAAGAUCAUUCUUGAUCACUCGACGGUACCAGAUGAAUAAGCACCGGCUAACUCCGUGCCAGCAGCCGCGGUAAUACGGAGGGUGCAAGCGUUAUCCGGAUUUACUGGGUUUAAAGGGUGCGCAGGCGGAUAUGUAAGUCAGUGGUGAAAUCUUUGGGCUUAACCCGAAAAUUGCCAUUGAUACUAUAUAUCUUGAAUGCUGUGGAGGUAAGCGGAAUAUGUCAUGUAGCGGUGAAAUGCUUAGAUAUGACAUAGAACAUCUAUUGCGAAGGCAGCUUACUACGCAGAUAUUGACGCUCAUGCACGAAAGCGUGGGGAUCAAACAGGAUUAGAUACCCUAGUAGUCC
This 793-nucleotide ribosomal RNA is filed under the name uncultured bacterium. RNAcentral's name for it is "bacterial SSU rRNA". It matches the Rfam family "Bacterial small subunit ribosomal RNA", at positions 8 to 796 of the family's 1533-position model. The record is from RNAcentral.